GACGAACGCUGGCGGCGUGCUUAACACAUGCAAGUCGAACGGAAAGGCCCUGCUUGCAGGGUACUCGAGUGGCGAACGGGUGAGUAACUCGUGGGUGAUCUGCCCUGCACUUCGGGAUAAGCCUGGGAAACUGGGUCUAAUACCGGAUAGGAGCCAUUUUUAGUGUGAUGGUUGGAAAGUUUUUUCGGUGUAGGAUGAGCUCGCGGCCUAUCAGCUUGUUGGUGGGGUAAUGGCCUACCAAGGCGGCGACGGGUAGCCGGCCUGAGAGGGUGGACGGCCACAUUGGGACUGAGAUACGGCCCAGACUCCUACGGGAGGCAGCAGUGGGGAAUAUUGCACAAUGGGCGCAAGCCUGAUGCAGCGACGCCGCGUGGGGGAUGACGGCCUUCGGGUUGUAAACUCCUUUCGCUAGGGACGAAGCUUUUUGUGACGGUACCUAGAUAAGAAGCACCGGCUAACUACGUG
This 465-nucleotide ribosomal RNA is filed under the name uncultured bacterium. RNAcentral describes it as "partial 16S ribosomal RNA". It matches the Rfam family "Bacterial small subunit ribosomal RNA", at positions 28 to 507 of the family's 1533-position model. The record is from RNAcentral.